CUUCAAAGCUCCAUGGUAGUGGUGGCAGAGCUCUGCUUCAGAAUGAACUAGUUCUUGAAUGAGGCACAUAGGUUCUUCCUGAAGUUGAGCAGCCAUGAAGUGGCUCUCACCUCUCAAUAGUCAUGAGCCGUCGUCACACAGUGCAGAGGUCCACAUGAGUGUGAGGAGAAUACUUGCGAAUAUCUCAAAUUCUCUCCGUGAUGUUCAAUGAUCUCUCAGAUGUCCUCAUCAAAGGCAGGUAGAAGGAAGAAUUCACAAGGGACAAAAGAUCAUGGAAUGAUAAUGGAACCUGGCUAAGCUGUCAGGUUUGAAACAAGAGCCAGAGGGCUAGAGGUACAAGUAUUGCUGGUCUUGAAUAUGAGAAAUGCAGAAACAGACUCUACUGAGAGAGAGAGCAUCAUAUCGAACCAGGUAAGAGAAUAUUGCAUUUCAAAUGUUUUGUCCAUGGAGGAAAU
Molecule: long non-coding RNA, 455 nt
Organism: Mus musculus (house mouse)
Lineage: Eukaryota; Metazoa; Chordata; Mammalia; Rodentia; Muridae
Product: predicted gene, 40900
Exons: 3
Source: RefSeq, a predicted model, not a curated record